AUUAGAUACCCGUCUAUUUAUGCCCUAAAUAAGUUAGUUGAAUAAUACGGCCAAAAGACUAAAAAUCAAAAAGCUUGGCGGUGCUUCACCAUACCAGGGGAACCUGUCCCAUAAAUCGAUAAUCCACGAACAAUUAACCUAUAUUAGCCCUAAGCAGCCUGUGUACUGCCGUCGCAAGCUAACCUUUAAAAGAAAGUUAGCAACCACACCUCAUAAUUACGUCAGGUCAAAGUGCAGCCAAUAUAUAGGAGGAAUGAUGGGUUACAACCUACACAAAGACAACGCACUAGAGCUACAAAAACUCUACAAAGGUGGACUAGAAUGUAAUCCAAGCUACAAAGCUUAAAUUAAUUUAGAUCUGAAGCAUGCACACAUCGCCCGUCACUCCCCCCCAAAGGGGAGAUAAGUCGUAAC
This 414-nucleotide ribosomal RNA is filed under the name Pontoscolex corethrurus. RNAcentral describes it as "partial 12S ribosomal RNA". It matches the Rfam family "Bacterial small subunit ribosomal RNA", at positions 777 to 1492 of the family's 1533-position model. Lineage: Eukaryota; Metazoa; Annelida; Clitellata; Crassiclitellata; Glossoscolecidae. The record is from RNAcentral.